CACGGGCGCAGCCUGAUCCAGCCAUGCCGCGUGAGUGAUGAAGGCCUUCUGGUUGUAAAGCUCUUUUUUCAGGGAAGAAACGGUUUGUACUAGUACCCUGUUGUCUUGACGGUACCAGAAGAGUACGCACCGGUUAGCUACGUGCCCCCAGCCGCUGAAAUCAA
RNAcentral lists this ribosomal RNA (164 nucleotides) under uncultured bacterium. RNAcentral describes it as "partial 16S ribosomal RNA". It matches the Rfam family "Bacterial small subunit ribosomal RNA", at positions 370 to 525 of the family's 1533-position model. The record is from RNAcentral.